Non-coding RNA from Podarcis lilfordi (Lilford's wall lizard), 441 nucleotides. Lineage: Eukaryota; Metazoa; Chordata; Lepidosauria; Squamata; Lacertidae. The record is from the annotation of a GenBank genome assembly.
CUUGCACUUCGUGCUUUCGAACUGCUAGGUUGGCAGGAGCAGGGACCGAGCAACGGCAGCUCACCCUGUCGUGGGGAUUCGAACCACCGACCUUCUGAUUGGCAAGUCCUAGGCUCUGUGGUUUAACCCAUAGUGCCAUCCACGUCCCUUCAUGGUGAGUACUGGCACCUUUUUUUCUUUAAAAAAAGCACUGGUUUUAACUCUGGAAAGCGGCAUACAAAUAUAAUGAUGUAUGUAUCCCAGUACGCAGCAGCUACUCAUCUGGAAGGAGGUCACAUAGGAAAAUAGGUGUGUCCCUUAUUUUCCAGGGACAGUCACGGAUUUACAGAAGAAGUCCCAGUUUCUGAUUUGAUCCUGGAAUGUCCCACUUUUCCUUAGGACGUCCCUAUUUUCAUCAGAGAAAUGUUGGAGGCUAUGGAGUUAUGUGACCCCAGAGCUAAG